This 1035-nucleotide long non-coding RNA is filed under the name Ursus maritimus (polar bear). RNAcentral's name for it is "lncRNA (ENSUMAG00000000555.1)". Lineage: Eukaryota; Metazoa; Chordata; Mammalia; Carnivora; Ursidae. The record is from RNAcentral.
GUUUCUUUCUGGAACAAAAAACCAAACCAAACACUUGAACACUCAUCGGCUACAUGAAACUGGUUUAGGUACUAGGCAGUGCAUUUCCUCUAACCCAGCGUUGGUCCCGUGAGGGCUGUUAAAAGGAUAUAACAUGGCAUUGACUUUUUGCACACAGGCCUUCAAAUUUCUGUUUUCUGUAUUACAAGCUACUGUCCACACAGGGUCAUAAAUCCCCAGGGGGAAGUCAUAUGUUACACCACGUGACGAGCUUUGCAUCUGUUUUGCAGCUGUUCACAUUGCACUUUUAUUUUGCCUUUUGGAAACCCUAGACCAGCGCUUUUCAAACACAAACGUGUAUAUGAAUCCCUUGGGGCUCUUGUUAAAAUGCAGAUUUUGAGUCAGGAGGUCCGGGGAGGGCUGAGAUUCUCCAGUUCUGAGGAGAUGCGGGUGGUGCCAAUUCUGCUGCUCGGGACACCGUCCUUGGAGUGGUAAGGUUGCCGAAUAAUAGGAAGAAAAGACUGAAGCCCUGGCAGGACCAAUGUCCACGUGCACGCAUCAGAGACCGGUCUGGCUGUGGAGGAGUUGUCCUUGGUCACUGCACCGGAAGAGAACAAAAGGGUCCUGCAGCCCAGCCGUAACUGAAACCAGAGUGACCUCAGCAAUAGGUGUGUGAGCAACCGGAAGCAGAUUCUAACCGGCGGUUUCAGUUCCCUCCCUGUCAUUUCACUGACAGAAGAGAAGCAGCAGGCAGCCCCGGGGACUAUGAUCUUCUCUGUCCUUUAUGCAUGCUGUGAUCUAGGCCAGGCGUUCUCAGCUGCGGUACUGGUGACACUCGGGGCUGCAUGGCUUGUGAGUGUCUGCUGUGUGGUGUUCUGUGCGUCGUAGGGUGUGCAGCCCCAUCCCUGGACUCUACCCAUUAGAGACCAGUCGCCCCCCACCUCUACCUCCACUUGUAACAACCGAAAAUGCUUCCAGACAGUCCCAGAUAUCAGCUUGGGGGCCAAAACUGCCCCUGGUUGAGAACCACUGAUCUAGGAUAAGGCGUAAUUUGUC